Molecule: unclassified non-coding RNA, 232 nt
Filed under: Hevea brasiliensis (rubber tree)
Lineage: Eukaryota; Viridiplantae; Streptophyta; Magnoliopsida; Malpighiales; Euphorbiaceae
Source: RNAcentral
GAAUAAAAUAUUGCACUUCCUCUGAUAAACCAGCCAAAUUGUGAAACUAGUAUUCAUGAUCUAAUAAUUUCUUUAUCUUCCAUUUUCUUGCAGACGAGAAAGCUUUUUUCAUUAGGAAAAGAAAAUGUUUAUCACUGGGCUCUUCAAUUAAGAGUAGAAUUCUAAUUAAUUAUCAAUGAAACUGCUCUUUCUAAUCUUAUUAUUUAUUCCAGGGAAAGAAUGAAAGUGUGAA